AGCUCUAGAGAUUUUCUUUCUUGAGCCUCAUUAUCAGUGUGGGAACAAUUGGAGGCUGUUUUUUUUCAGGAGUUGCUCUUUCCAAAUCAGGGAUGGCAGACUUGCACUGGGUCUAAUCUCUCUUUCUUUCUCUGACACCCCCCCACCCCCCACCUGGGCCCUAGGAGUUUUGUUUGUAUUGCUGCAUGUUAUGAGGCAAACGUGGCUCUAGUCCAGGCCUGACUAGAGCAUACCUAAACAUCAAAAAGAUGAGCUCUACAUUCUCAAGGAAGACUUAAGACCAUGGAAAUAUGAACAAGCAUCAAGUUACCGGAUCUAACACUCUGAUUAUAUGUGGAAAAGAACAAAAUAGGUCCUCUUGGAGGUCAGGGAGCAGAAAAGGCAAUGACCCAGAGCCAAUGAACAUGAACAAGAGCAGGCCCCACCAGUCCUCAAACAGAUAUCUACAAUAAAGCUGACCUUGGGCUAGAACACUAGAAGCCAGGCUGUAGCUGAGGACAGUUUUUUGUCAUCAAGAGUUCUGCUCGAGCAUCAGCAACGGGACAAAGAGAUAUCACGUGCCUCCUGUUACAACGCCCUGAGGACCCGACAUCGCUUCGGUGGGAUUCUUGAGAAAAGCGCAUAAUAAUGAUAAAACAUCAGGGAAAAAACAAACAAAAAAAGAAGACAUUCUACAAAUUAAUU
RNAcentral lists this long non-coding RNA (684 nucleotides) under Equus caballus (horse). Its description in RNAcentral is "lncRNA (ENSECAG00000060331.1)". The record is from RNAcentral. Lineage: Eukaryota; Metazoa; Chordata; Mammalia; Perissodactyla; Equidae.